AAGAGUUGCAAAACUCCCAAACCAUUGUGAACAUACCUUCAACGUUGCUUCGGCGGGUUGGCCCCGGUCUCCGGGGUCCCCGGCCCUACUCGGGCGCCCGCCGGAGGUAUCUAACUCUUGAACUUUUAUGGCCUCUCUGAGUCUUUGUACUUAAUAAGUCAAAACUUUCAACAACGGAUCUCUUGGUUCUGGCAUCGAUGAAGAACGCAGCGAAAUGCGAUAAGUAAUGUGAAUUGCAGAAUUCAGUGAAUCAUCGAAUCUUUGAACGCACAUUGCGCCCGCCAGUAUUCUGGCGGGCAUGCCUGUUCGAGCGUCAUUUCAACCAUCAAGCCCCCGGCUUGUGUUGGGGACCUGCGGCUGCCGCAGGCCCUGAAAACCAGUGGCGGGCUCGCUAGUCACUCCGAGCGUAGUAAUACAUCUCGCUCAGGGCGUGCUGCGGGUUCCGGCCGUUAAAAAGCCUUAUUUACCCAAG
Molecule: unclassified non-coding RNA, 472 nt
Filed under: uncultured Trichocladium
Lineage: Eukaryota; Fungi; Ascomycota
Description: sequence contains ITS1, 5.8S rRNA gene, ITS2
Rfam family: 5.8S ribosomal RNA (bases 163-316)
Source: RNAcentral